CUACGGGAGGCAGCAGUCGGGAAUUUUGGGCAAUGGGCGAAAGCCUGACCCAGCAACGCCGCGUGAAGGAUGAAGUUUUUCGGAAUGUAAACUUCGUAAGAAUAGGAAGAAUAAAUGACGGUACUAUUUGUAAGGUCCGGCUAACUACGUGCCAGCAGCCGCGGUAAUACGUAGGGACCAAGCGUUGUUCGGAUUUACUGGGCGUAAAGGGCGCGUAGGCGGCGUGUUAAGUCAGCUGUGAAAUCUCCAAGCUUAACUUGGAACGGUCAGCUGAUACUGAUGUGCUAGAGUGCAGAAAGGGCAAUCGGAAUUCUUGGUGUAGCGGUGAAAUGCGUAGAUAUCAAGAGGAACACCUGAGGCGAAGGCGGGUUGCUAGGCUGACACUGACGCUGAGGCGCGAAAGCUAGGGUAGCAAACGGGAUUAGAAACCCUAGUAGUCC
This 440-nucleotide ribosomal RNA is filed under the name uncultured bacterium. RNAcentral describes it as "bacterial SSU rRNA". It matches the Rfam family "Bacterial small subunit ribosomal RNA", at positions 339 to 796 of the family's 1533-position model. The record is from RNAcentral.